CUUUGCUCUUUCCAUAACUGUUCUACCCUCUGAGAUGAGAAAUAGUAAAGCCAAUUAGAUGCAGCAAUGAUAGAAGCUAAAGAAAACAAAGUAAAUCUGGGCAAAAAAAAAAAGAAAAAGGAAAGAAAAGAAAGAGCAUCAGAACAUGGGAAUAUUUAAACCGACAAAAUACACAAAGAGAAGAAAAUCAGGACUCAGAUUUGUAUAGCUUUUAAAAGAUUUCAAUAUGUGGUAACCAGUCCUUCCUAGAGUGAAUUAUCAGCAAUACUCCCAAGUAAGGAUAUAUAUGCAGGUCACUGUCCUAAACUCCUGGGAAGAUGGGGCCGGCAGUUCUCACUGCAAAGCUUGGGCUAAUUCUGCUGUUGCUAGAAGCCAGGGAGUCUCUGGAAGAUGCUCACUCUCUCUGCCUCGACUUCACUGUCAGAUAUCAGGCCUCACCUGGACAGUCAUGGUGUGAAGCCCAGGGCUCAGUGAAUGGAAAAGCCUUUCAGUGACAGCAGCAAGGCCAGACCUGUGGAUCUGCUUGGGGAGGAGGUCAAGGCCACCAAAGCAUGGAGAGAAUUGUCCCAAACUCUGGAAGAAGUGGGGCGAGAGCUCAGGAUGAUCCUGCUUGUCACAAAACCAGAGAAAAGCCUGAGUGGAGGUUUUCCCACCCUGCAGGCCCAGCUGUGCUGUCAGAGGGAAGCAGGGGAGUGCACUGGUGCAACCUGGGAGUUCAGCAUCAAUGAACAGAGAGCCCUCAUUAAUACAAUGACCAUGACCUGGACAGUCAUUGAUCCUGGAGCCAGAGGGAUUAAAAAGGAAUGGGAGAGCAAUCAGGACUUGGCAGAAGACUUCAGCAUCAUCUCAAGUAGAAUUUGCAGUCACUGGCUUAAUGGAUUCCUAGAGCACUGGCAGAAAAUGCUGGAGCCCACAGCCACACCACUGAAGAUUCCUGAUACUCACCAGCAUUCUUCAGCAACUCAGUUAAUUGCCUGGAUCAUCCUGACAGUCUUCCCAUGCUGUUUCAUCCUUACUGACAUUUUGUCAGAUAUAUAGAAAGAAUGAAAAAAAAAAUCAGAAGUUGGGGGCAGAACCAAGAUGGAGACUUGGAAGCAGCUGCUUGUGUGAGCUCCGACAACAACUUCUGGAAAGGGUAGGACUCCUGGCUUUCAGCAGGACGAGAUUCCUGGCUCACCAGCAGUGUCAUUCCAAUCCUGUUCCUUUCUGAAUCACUUUGCUCUUUUUUUUCUGUCUAAGUGGCCAAUUGGAGCUACAAAUAUCUGGCUAAGCAGAGUCUCACCCCACCUGGGAAAGACUGCCUGGAGGGUGUUUGUUUGUUUGUUUGUUUGUUUGUUUGUUUGUUUGUUUUUAACAAUUGGCUGCCUCUGCUCAGAGUGCCUGAGCUAAUCGGGAGCCGUUCAAGCUGCAGACUGACUAUUAGGGUUUUUUUUGUUCUGUUCUAUUUUAUUAUUACUAUUAUAUAUAUAUGCAUGUCCCUUUCCUCCCCUCCUUCAAGUUGACCAAAAUUAACUCUUAGUGUAUUUUCCAUUGCUAGAUUACUAGGUGUCUUAUCCAUUGUGAAAGGAACUUGUUUAACUCUUCCUACCUCCUCUAUUCACUCUCCCACUUCUCCCUCCUCCUAUCUAAUUAAAAUAAUAAUAAAUAAAUAAAUAAUUUCCUUUCACUGCUCUUUUUUUCUUUUUAUUGUUCUUUUCUCUCCUUUUUCUUUUUCUCAUUCUUGUCUUCCUUUCUUCCUUCCUCCUUCUUCUGCUUUCUGAAUUCACUGAUACUCGCUUGUGAAUUAUUUUGGGGAAGAAAUCUGACUCAGAGUAGACUCUCUUUGUGUGUGAGACUCUGCUCUACUUCCCUUUUUCCUCUUGCUACUCCUAGAAUUUACAUUGGACAGUAGAUUUGCAUAAUUGUCUAUUCUUGCUAUCCCUUUUUUCCUUUAUCUUUCAUUUUCAUUUGGAUUUGGUUGCUAUUUUUUCUUGGACUGGGGACAUUGUUUGGCUAACUGGUAUUGGUUAAACUGCUUCAAUCCUUGCUUCAAUUACUAUUGUAGUUUCUGAGCUUGGUGAUUGAAUUUGUCAUAAAGGUAUUUAGUAUAGUGUGGCUUGUACUCAAAACACAACAAGUGAGGAACAACAGAACAUAAAAAUAAAAAAAAAUUGAUAAAAAAUGAUUAAACCAAGAGCAAAUAAAACUGCUACUAUAAUGAAUGAAGACAAGAGCCCAGAAGAAACUACAAAUCAGUCAGAAGUAACCAUAGAUAAAAAAGUAUGCAAGCAAUAAUAAACUUAUUAAUCACGGAAAUGAAAACAAGAUCCUGGCCAACCAGAUACAGCAGUAUAUCAAAAAGAUUGUUCAUCACAACCAAGUGGGAGCUAUGCAGGGCUGGUUCAACAUAUGAAGUCAAUCAAUGUCAUUCACAUCAAUAAAAGCAAAGCCAAAAACCACAAUUAUCUCAAUAGAUGCAGAGAAAGCCUUUGACAAAAUCCAACACCCAUUCAUGCUCAAAACUCUACC
Molecule: long non-coding RNA, 2508 nt
Organism: Erinaceus europaeus (western European hedgehog)
Lineage: Eukaryota; Metazoa; Chordata; Mammalia; Eulipotyphla; Erinaceidae
Exons: 5
Source: RefSeq, a predicted model, not a curated record